GAUCGAAUCGAUGGAGUGCUUGCCUCCUGAUACUAGCGGCGGACGGGUGAGUAACACGUAUGCAACCUGCCCAUAAGACUGGGAUAACUACUCGGAAACGGUAGCUAAUACCGGAUACUCAAGAUGGUCGCAUGAUCUUCUUGGGAAAGACGGAGCAAUCUGUCACUUAUGGAUGGGCCUGCGGCGCAUAAGCUAGUUGGUGGGGUAAUGGCCUACCAAGGCGAUGAUGCGUAUCCGAUCUGAUAGGGUGAACGGCCUCUCUGGGACUGAGACACGGUCCAUACUCCUACGGGAGGCAUCAGUAGGGAAUCUUCGGCAAUGGACGAAAGUCUGACCGAUCAACGCCGCGUGAGUGAUGAAUGUUUUCGGAUCGUAAAGCUCUGUUGCCAGUGAAGAACGUCUUCUAAAGUAUCUGCUAGGAUAGUGACGGUACCUGAUAAGAAAGCCCCGGCUAACUACGUGCCAGCAGCCGCGGUAAU
RNAcentral lists this ribosomal RNA (479 nucleotides) under uncultured bacterium. RNAcentral's name for it is "bacterial SSU rRNA". It matches the Rfam family "Bacterial small subunit ribosomal RNA", at positions 64 to 524 of the family's 1533-position model. The record is from RNAcentral.